UUAGAUACCCUAUUAUACUAAUGAAAACCUGGAUUAUUAAUAGAUACGGUCUUUAAAUUUGAAGAAUUUGGCGGUGAUUUAAUCUUAUUAGAGGAACCUGUUUUUGAAUCGAUAAACCACGUAAAAUUUUACUCAUCUUAUUUAGUUUAUAUACCGUCAUUAUCAGAUAAUUUUUGGAGAAAUUAAUUAUUAAAAUUUAUUAAAAUAACAAUAAAUUAAAUUAGAUCAAGGUGUAGCCUAUAGGUGAGUUAGAAUGGGUUACAAUAAAAUAUAUUUAUACGGAACAGUUUUUAAAGGAAGAAUGGCUGUUGAAGGUGGAUUUAAUUGUAAUUUAGGUUCAAUAAGCCUGAAAGAUAUAAGUUCUAAACCAUGUACAUAUCGCCCG
Molecule: ribosomal RNA, 385 nt
Filed under: Psaumis cavipes
Lineage: Eukaryota; Metazoa; Arthropoda; Malacostraca; Decapoda; Xanthidae
Description: partial 12S ribosomal RNA
Source: RNAcentral